Molecule: ribosomal RNA, 301 nt
Filed under: uncultured bacterium
Lineage: Bacteria
Description: partial 16S ribosomal RNA
Rfam family: Bacterial small subunit ribosomal RNA
Source: RNAcentral
CAGUAGCCGCGGGAAAACGGAGGGGGCUAGCGUUGUUCGGAAUUACUGGGCGUAAAGCGCACGUAGGCGGCUUGGUAAGUUAGAGGUGAAAGCCCGGAGCUCAACUCCGGAAUUGCCUUUAAGACUGCCGAGCUAGCAGGUGAGAGAGGUAAGUGGAAUUCCGAGUGUAGAGGUGAAAUUCGUAGAUAUUCGGAAGAACACCAGUGGCGAAGGCGGCUUACUGGCUCAUACUGGACGCUGAGGUGCGAAAGCGUGGGGAGCAAACAGGAUUAGAUACCCGAGUAGUCCCUGUCUCUUAUAU